AAUCAGUUAUGGUUCCUUAGAUCGUUCAUACUACAUGGAUAACUGUGGUAAUUCUAGAGCUAAUACAUGCAAAAAGCUCCGACCGUAUGGGAAGAGCGCUUUUAUUAGACCAAAACCAAUGGGGUCGCAAGAUCCCUUUGUAUGGUGACUCUGGAUAACUUUGUGCUGAUCGCAUGGCCUAGAGCCGGCGACGUAUCUUUCAAGUGUCUGCCCUAUCAACUUUCGAUGGUAAGCGAUUUGCCUACCAUGGUUGUAACGGGUAACGGGGAAUCAGGGUUCGAUUCCGGAGAGGGAGCAUGAGAAAUGGCUACCACAUCUACGGAAGGCAGCAGGCGCGCAAAUUACCCACUCCUAGAACGGGGAGGUAGUGACGAAAAAUAACAAUACCGGACUCAAUGAGGCUCGGUAAUUGAAAUGAGUACAGUUUAAAACCCUUAACGAGGAUCUAUUGGAGGGCAAGUCUGGUGCCAGCAGCCGCGGUAAUUCCAGCUCCAAUAGCGUAUAUUAAAGUUGUUGCAGUUAAAAAGCUCGUAGUUGGAUCUCGGGUACUAGCAUGUGGUACGCUUAACUGCUGUUACUACAUGUCUGGUCCUAAUCAACCGGUUGGCCGUUGAUGCCCUUUAUUGGGUGUUUUCGGUAGCCGGUACGUUUACUUUGAGAAAAUUAGAGUGCUUAAAGCAGGCCUUACGCCUGAAUAAUGUUGCAUGGAAUAAUAGAAUAGGACCUCGGUUCUAUUUUGUUGGUUUUGUAGAGCAUUGAGGUAAUGAUUAAUAGGGACAGACGGGGGCAUUCGUAUUGCGGU
Molecule: ribosomal RNA, 802 nt
Filed under: Brachionus quadridentatus cluniorbicularis
Lineage: Eukaryota; Metazoa; Rotifera; Eurotatoria; Ploima; Brachionidae
Description: SSU rRNA
Rfam family: Eukaryotic small subunit ribosomal RNA
Source: RNAcentral